RNAcentral lists this ribosomal RNA (489 nucleotides) under uncultured Bacillota bacterium. Its description in RNAcentral is "bacterial SSU rRNA". It matches the Rfam family "Bacterial small subunit ribosomal RNA", at positions 8 to 474 of the family's 1533-position model. Lineage: Bacteria; Bacillati; Bacillota. The record is from RNAcentral.
AGGGUUUGAUCAUGGCUCAGGACGAACGCUGGCGGCGUGCCUAAUACAUGCAAGUCGAACGAACCGCGACCGAGUGCUUGCACUUGGUCAAGGUGAGUGGCGAACGGGUGAGUAACACGUGGGUAACCUACCUCAUAGUGGGGGAUAACAGUCGGAAACGACUGCUAAUACCGCAUAGGACAUGGGAUCACAUGAUUCUGUGAGGAAAGGUGGCGCAAGCUAUCGCUAAGAGAUGGACCCGCGGUGCAUUAGCUAGUUGGUAGGGUAACGGCCUACCAAGGCAAUGAUGCAUAGCCGACCUGAGAGGGUGAUCGGCCACAUUGGGACUGAGACACGGCCCAAACUCCUACGGGAGGCAGCAGUAGGGAAUCUUCCGCAAUGGACGCAAGUCUGACGGAGCAACGCCGCGUGAGUGAAGAAGGUCUUCGGAUCGUAAAGCUCUGUUGUUAGAGAAGAACAGCGCAUAGAGUAACUGUUAUGCGUGUGACG